RNAcentral lists this ribosomal RNA (247 nucleotides) under uncultured archaeon. Its description in RNAcentral is "partial 16S ribosomal RNA". It matches the Rfam family "Archaeal small subunit ribosomal RNA", at positions 691 to 938 of the family's 1478-position model. The record is from RNAcentral.
CCGACGGUGAGAGGCGAAAGCUGGGGCACGAACCGGAUUAGAUACCCGGGUAGUCCCAGCCGUAAACGAUGCUCGCUAGGUGUCUGGGAUGGUGCGACCGUUUCAGGUGCCGCAGGGAAGCCGUGAAGCGAGCCACCUGGGAAGUACGGCCGCAAGGCUGAAACUUAAAGGAAUUGGCGGGGGAGCACUACAACGGGUGGAGCCUGCGGUUUAAUUGGACUCAACGCCGGAAAACUCACCUGGGGCG